This is a long non-coding RNA of Helianthus annuus (common sunflower), 1118 nucleotides long. RefSeq lists it as uncharacterized. The transcript is spliced from 6 exons. The record is from RefSeq and is a predicted model, not a curated record. NCBI's taxonomy places the organism in Eukaryota, Viridiplantae, Streptophyta, Magnoliopsida, Asterales, Asteraceae.
GUUGGAAAUUCCAUAUUGGAAGCACAUAACAGCGACAUCGAUGACGACGGCGGAUUGAAGCUCAGAUUUCCGAUGGCAGCGCCCGAUACUUGGAUGGUGGUCGAUCAUCCGAAAAGACUGGUCGUUGGGCUGAUCUGGUGGUGGUUAAAGAUCAGAUUUCAUUCGGGAACCCUUGGUGGCGGUGUCGCUGGCAUAUUUUUGAACUGUGAUUUUGUGGAGGUUUGAUCUGUCGGUGUUGAUUCUAUAUUGAUUUUGAAGUAUAUUAUAGAGUACACAUUUGAAGAAUUAGGGUUCUUACAUAGUGUUUUUUAGGCCAUAAUGCUGAAUCUUCCAACAUCUGAGUUCUGACAUGAUAGAAUCAUGCUCCAUAGCUGGUCCUGGCUUUAUAAACGUUAAGUUAUCAACACAAUGGAUAGCCAAGAGAAUCCAGAAUAUGCUAACAGAUGGCAUUGACACAUGGGCACCAAGGCUCUCUGUCAAAAGGGCGAUAGUUGACUUUUCAUCACCCAACAUUGCAAAGGAAAUGCAUGUAGGUCAUUUGAGGUCAACUAUCAUUGGAGACACGAUAGCCCGUAUGCUUGAGUAUUCUAAAGUUGAUGUGCUUCGCAGAAACCAUGUUGGGGAUUGGGGCACUCAGUUUGGAAUGUUGAUUGACUUUCUCUUUGAGAAGUUCCAGAUGGGGAGGUUACUGAUCAGGAUAUUGGAGAACUAGAGGUACCCAUGUCAAGCUCCCUGGUCCUUUCUUGAAAGAACCAAAUACGAAUUUCACACCUCUUACAAUAAGAUGAUACGGUUCGUAUGAACUAGGAGGCGUUUACAAUAAGACGAUACGGCUUUGUGAGGCUUCAAAGAGUAUUAACAAGUAAAAAUGUGAAGCGACUAAUGGUGACUGCCAUGAAGCAGAUGCAGCUGUUGGUUAGAGUCCAAACACAAAUUCAGUCACGUAGAAUCCAUAUGUCAAAGAAUCAAGCACAAGAACAAUCAUCAUAAGAAGUAAGAUAUAAUUUCUUGGCCUUUUUUCUAAAAUACAUGGCUUUUUGUUUUAACAUAAGAUAUAUUCGCAGUCAAAUUUCUAACAAAAACAGCCAUUUAAUAAGCACCAAAGAGAUUACAAACUA